This 892-nucleotide ribosomal RNA is filed under the name Nesterenkonia sp. YIM 91091. RNAcentral describes it as "bacterial SSU rRNA". It matches the Rfam family "Bacterial small subunit ribosomal RNA", at positions 50 to 930 of the family's 1533-position model. The record is from RNAcentral. Lineage: Bacteria; Bacillati; Actinomycetota; Actinomycetes; Micrococcales; Micrococcaceae.
UGGGUAUACAAUCAAGGGUCUGCCUUGCCUUGGUACGAGGGGGCCGGGUGCUUGCCCGGGUGGAUUAGUGGCGAACGGGUGAGUAUCACGUGAGUAACCUGCCCUUGACUCUGGGAUAAGCCUGGGAAACUGGGUCUAAUACCGGAUAUGACCAGUCCUCGCAUGGGGUGCUGGUGGAAAGAUUUUAUCGGUCUUGGAUGGACUCGCGGCCUAUCAGUUUGUUGGUGAGGUAAUGGCUCACCAAGGCGAUGACGGGUAGCCGGCCUGAGAGGGUGACCGGCCACACUGGGACUGAGACACGGCCCAGACUCCUACGGGAGGCAGCAGUGGGGAAUAUUGCACAAUGGGCGCAAGCCUGAUGCAGCGACGCCGCGUGCGGGAUGACGGCCUUCGGGUUGUAAACCGCUUUCAGCAGGGAAGAAGCUUUUGUGACGGUACCUGCAGAAGAAGCGCCGGCUAACUACGUGCCAGCAGCCGCGGUAAUACGUAGGGCGCGAGCGUUAUCCGGAAUUAUUGGGCGUAAAGGGCUCGCAGGCGGUUUGCCACGUCUGCUGUGAAAGCCCGGGGCUUAACUCCGGGUGUGCAGUGGGUACGGGUAGACUAGAGUGCAGUAGGGGAGACUGGAAUUCCUGGUGUAGCGGUGAAAUGCGCAGAUAUCAGGAAGAACACCGAUGGCGAAGGCAGGUCUCUGGGCUGUUACUGACGCUGAGGAGCGAAAGCAUGGGGAGCGAACAGGAUUAGAUACCCUGGUAGUCCAUGCCGUAAACGUUGGGCACUAGGUGUGGGGGACAUUCCACGUUUUCCGCGCCGUAGCUAACGCAUUAAGUGCCCCGCCUGGGGAGUACGGCCGCAAGGCUAAAACUCAAAGGAAUUGACGGGGGCCCGCACAAGC